UGAUCCUACGGGGCGCAGCAGUGGGGAAUAUUGGGCAACGGGCGCAAGCCUGACCCAGCAACGCCGCGUGAAGGAAGAAGGCUUUCGGGUUGUAAACUUCUUUUCUCAGGGACGAAGCAAGUGACGGUACCUGAGGAAUAAGCCACGGCUAACUACGUGCCAGCAGCCGCGGUAAUACGUAGGUGGCAAGCGUUAUCCGGAUUUACAGGGUGUAAAGGGCGUGUAGGCGGGAAAGCAAGUCAGAUGUGAAAACCACGGGCUCAACCUGGGGCCUGCAUUUGAAACUGUUUUUCUUGAGUACUGGG
This 305-nucleotide ribosomal RNA is filed under the name uncultured bacterium. RNAcentral's name for it is "bacterial SSU rRNA". It matches the Rfam family "Bacterial small subunit ribosomal RNA", at positions 334 to 653 of the family's 1533-position model. The record is from RNAcentral.